This 618-nucleotide ribosomal RNA is filed under the name uncultured bacterium. RNAcentral describes it as "bacterial SSU rRNA". It matches the Rfam family "Bacterial small subunit ribosomal RNA", at positions 338 to 956 of the family's 1533-position model. The record is from RNAcentral.
CCUACGGGAGGCAGCAGUGGGGAAUUUUGGACAAUGGGCGAAAGCCUGAUCCAGCAAUGCCGCGUGAGUGAAGAAGGCCUUCGGGUUGUAAAGCUCUUUUGUCAGGGAAGAAACGGUGAGAGCUAAUAUCUCUUGCUAAUGACGGUACCUGAAGAAUAAGCACCGGCUAACUACGUGCCAGCAGCCGCGGUAAUACGUAGGGUGCAAGCGUUAAUCGGAAUUACUGGGCGUAAAGCGUGCGCAGGCGGUUUUGUAAGUCUGAUGUGAAAUCCCCGGGCUCAACCUGGGAAUUGCAUUGGAGACUGCAAGGCUAGAAUCUGGCAGAGGGGGGUAGAAUUCCACGUGUAGCAGUGAAAUGCGUAGAUAUGUGGAGGAACACCGAUGGCGAAGGCAGCCCCCUGGGUCAAGAUUGACGCUCAUGCACGAAAGCGUGGGGAGCAAACAGGAUUAGAUACCCUGGUAGUCCACGCCCUAAACGAUGUCUACUAGUUGUCGGGUCUUAAUUGACUUGGUAACGCAGCUAACGCGUGAAGUAGACCGCCUGGGGAGUACGGUCGCAAGNUUAAAACUCAAAUGAAUUGACCGGNNGAGAGNGCGAGGACGACGACGAGGGAGAGG